This 137-nucleotide ribosomal RNA is filed under the name Dictyostelium giganteum. RNAcentral describes it as "partial 18S ribosomal RNA". It matches the Rfam family "Eukaryotic small subunit ribosomal RNA", at positions 1692 to 1831 of the family's 1831-position model. The record is from RNAcentral. Lineage: Eukaryota; Evosea; Eumycetozoa; Dictyosteliales; Dictyosteliaceae.
AAUGAUACGGUAAAGUUAACGGAUCGUUUUAUUUGUGGCAACACAUUAUAAGACUAAAAGUUAUUUAAAUCUCAUUGUUUAGAGGAAGGAGAAGUCGUAACAAGGUAUCCGUAGUGAACCUGCGGAUGGAUCAUUUU